UAUACAUUCCAUUGGUGUUGGUAUGAUUUAUUUCUGAAUAUACAUAUAUAUAUGAUUUAUUUCUGAAUAUACACAUGUAUAUGUAUAUUCAGAAAUAAAUCAUACCAACACCAAUGGAAUGUAUU
This 125-nucleotide small RNA is filed under the name Mytilus galloprovincialis (Mediterranean mussel). Lineage: Eukaryota; Metazoa; Mollusca; Bivalvia; Mytilida; Mytilidae. The record is from RNAcentral.